GAUGAACGCUGGCGGCGUGCUUAACACAUGCAAGUCGAACGGAAAGGCUCCUGCUUGCAGGGGUACUCGAGUGGCGAACGGGUGAGUAACACGUGGGUGAUCUGCCCUGCACUUCGGGAUAAGCCUGGGAAACUGGGUCUAAUACCGGAUAGGACGAUGGUUUGGAUGCCAUUGUGGAAAGUUUUUUCGGUGUGGGAUGAGCUCGCGGCCUAUCAGCUUGUUGGUGGGGUAAUGGCCUACCAAGGCGUCGACGGGUAGCCGGCCUGAGAGGGUGUACGGCGACAUUGGGACUGAGAUACGGACCAGACGCCUACGGGAGGCAGCAGGGGGGAAUAUUGCACAAUGGGCGCAAGCCGGAUGAAGCGACGCCGCGUGGGGGAUGACGGCCUUCGGGUUGUAAACUCCUUUCGCUAGGGACGAAGCGCAAGUGACGGUACCUGGAGAAGAAGCACCGGCUAACUACGUG
This 466-nucleotide ribosomal RNA is filed under the name uncultured bacterium. RNAcentral describes it as "partial 16S ribosomal RNA". It matches the Rfam family "Bacterial small subunit ribosomal RNA", at positions 28 to 507 of the family's 1533-position model. The record is from RNAcentral.